RNAcentral lists this ribosomal RNA (505 nucleotides) under uncultured bacterium. RNAcentral describes it as "bacterial SSU rRNA". It matches the Rfam family "Bacterial small subunit ribosomal RNA", at positions 28 to 518 of the family's 1533-position model. The record is from RNAcentral.
GACGAACGCUGGCGGCGUGCCUGACACAUGCAAGUCGGACGGUUCUUGUACCUUCAAGCUUGCUUGUUGGUGCAAGGAUAGUGGCGGACGGGUGAGUAACGCGUGAACAUCUACCCAUUGGAGGGGGACAACCCGUCGAAAGGCGGGCUAAUACCGCGUAAGCCGCGAGGUGAGAGGCUGCCUAUUGGUGGCCGCCGAUGGAUGGGUUCGCGUCCUAUCAGCUGGUUGGUGGGGUAACGGCCUACCAAGGCGAAGACGGGUAGCCGGUCUGAGAGGAUGGCCGGCCACACUGGAACUGAGACACGGUCCAGACUCCUACGGGAGGCAGCAGUGGGGAAUCUUGCGCAAUGGGGGAAACCCUGACGCAGCAACGCCGCGUGAGUGAGGAAGGCCUUCGGGUCGUAAAGCUCUGUCAGAUGGGAAGAAAUAGGAUGGGGGCGUAAUAUCGCCCAUCCUUGACGGUACCAUCAGAGGAAGCACCGGCUAACUCCGUGCCAGCAGCCGC